This is a long non-coding RNA of Notothenia coriiceps (black rockcod), 1347 nucleotides long. RefSeq lists it as uncharacterized. NCBI's taxonomy places the organism in Eukaryota, Metazoa, Chordata, Actinopteri, Perciformes, Nototheniidae. The record is from RefSeq and is a predicted model, not a curated record. The transcript has 5 exons.
GAGGAGAGAGGGGUGCACUGACACGGAGCUUCUGGGAUGGAGCCUAGUAUGGAUCACUGGGAUUUACUCAUCAUUCUGCCCUCAAGAAGCAGACAGGUGUUCUUGAUUGGUGUGGCUUUCCGAAACUGAGAGUGGCCCAAAGCAGAUUUGUCCAUUCAGUCAACCCGACCUCCCUGACUCCAGGCCAGAGGGGGCUGACAUGAUGUGGGAGGAAAGGACGGGAGGAGGAAAAGAUGUCUGCGAGGUGUCAGAGGAGAGGAGAGAAAAGGAGACAGGUCCUUUCCUUCCUGACAAAAUGAUGCAAGUGUUUGUGAAAGGAGGAGGGAGCCCAGCUCUGCUGCAGUUGCUGUCUCUGGCAAAGCAUACAGAGCUGUGGUUACCUUGAGGAAGAGUGGACACUGGCUCUCAGCCUGCGGACAGGAGGCCCAGAACCAGUGAGGGAGUCCAUUGGCUUGUGCAGUGGAGACGUAGUAGCCCAGAGCUAGCGGCUGCUGCUUCAGCUCCUCUGGAGGACUGUCCCUGGACAUCAGGCGCUCUCCCUGGCUCUUUACAAACACAGGAGAAGGCCACUUAUUAGUUACAAACCUUCAUGGUGAUCCUUUCUAAUCCUUUGCACUGGCAUGACUGGUUUGUUCUCCUUUAACAAUAAUAAAAACAUGUAAUUUUCAAGGCAAUGCAAAAAGCAUGAAAAGAGGACUGUUGAAACUCCUAACAAAAGAACAGAAGACCUCCUCACGAUAUACUGUAGCUCAGCAAAUGCCCUUAUUGUUUUUUUUCCGAUGCUUUUCGCUUGAAUGCAAUGCUUGUAAUUAAAAGAUAGUACACUACAGAAAAUGUGAAUGUUAUACUGGUUUUAACAAAAAAUUAUUUUAUAUCCUUAUAAGCUUUUAUUCACAUUGAGUCAAACUUGUUUCAAGACAACAUAUAUAUUUACAUGUUUUGCCCGUAGGUCAAUGGGGACAUGACAUACAACCUCCAUAUCAAGUUACUAUAGCGUGUUAUUGUACAGCUACACACUGAUCCCACAGUUUGUCAGUACUGAAGGAAAUGUUCUGUAAUAUAGGUUGUCAACAUGUCUCUUCUUCUGUGCCUCCAAGACAAAUUCCUAUGCGUCUAUUAUACCUGGCAAAACUGUAAUUCUGAUUCUUCUUUGAUAAUAUGAAGUGUUGAGUGUCAGUCUGCAGAGAAGAAGCUCCCAUGCCUCAAAGUACAGAAUCACAUCUGAACCUGAAGAGGUAUGAUUUAUGUUUCCAAUAAAACAUUUCUGUAAUAAACAGUUGUACAUAGCAAUUAAAAUGCUUCUUAUAUGUUAUAUGAUUCACUCUACAGGUCAAAUAGGGCUAUAAC